RNAcentral lists this transfer RNA (67 nucleotides) under Hylomyscus walterverheyeni. Its description in RNAcentral is "tRNA-Thr". Lineage: Eukaryota; Metazoa; Chordata; Mammalia; Rodentia; Muridae. The record is from RNAcentral.
GUCUUAAUAGUAUAAAUAUUACUCUGGUCUUGUAAACCAGAAAUGAAGACCUAAUCUUCUUAAGACA